GUUUCAGAUGCAUUUGCUGAUCAGCCGCUUUUAUCGUACCGCGGAUGUGCUUUUUGGGUAAGUUUCAGCAUUGGUUGAAUAAUGUAUUAAAUUUAUAUGAUGACAGUAAUUACCGUAUGAUUUUAUUGAUUUCAAACUUCAUGGCUGCAAUUAUUGCAACUGAUUAUUUUUGGAAUCAACGAAAUCUGUGUGUUCUAGAGACAUUUUAUUAAUAAGAGCAUACAUUUUUAUUUUCAGAAAUGAUUCAACAUGAAAACGGAACUGCCAAGACACAAUUCUGGUUUUACCAUGCAUUUAAUUAAGGUAAAUAUAAAGAUGAUAUCCAUGUAGAAAUUGAUACAUUUUGAAUAUGAUGAUAGUAAUUACCGUAUGAUGUCUUUGAUUAAAACACCAUGGCUGCAAUUAUUGCAACUGAUUAUCUUUGAAAUACAUGUCAUUAUUUGCCAUGCUAGUCAUAUUUUAUACUAAUCAAUGAUUUUUCAAUUUGCAGUGAACCUCUGUUAAAAGAAGUCUGAAAUAUGAACGGCUCCAUUAGCAAGAUUCUAUAUGGAUUUCACGUACUAUCAAGCUAGGUAAGUUAAGCUGCAACAUACGUCAGACUGUAAAGCUAGUUCAAAUAUUUAUAUGAUGAAUACCUUUUAUCUAUUAACUUUCGUUCUACUGAGUAGAAAAUGCGGAGAAAUUUACCUGAUUUAACUUAGCUAUUAUAUUGAUACAAAGUCAGAGUCUAAGUGAUGUUAAUAGCCAUUUUCACGUCUUCUUUACAGUCCAAAGUCCGACAUGGCCUGAAGACUUCUCUGGAUUGUAUUGAUUCUACUGGUAUGUGUUCUAUAUCAAUCGCUUUACCUUAAAUUCUUAAAAUGAUGUUACUUCAUAGUAUAGUUCAUUAGAAUUCCACAUGUUACAACGUUUUCGAAGCUGAUAUUGUCUUCAAACAAGCUUCAGGCGUCCCACCAUAGCAAAUCUUAUUCAUUUAUUAUUUUUCUUGCAGCUCCAAUGAUUUGCUUUCCACCAGUCGGAACAGAUGUAGCCAUACAAUGUUAUAAGGAAGGUGCCGCCACGUCCAUAUCUAUUGCCUGAUAUAAAGGUAGAGUUCUGGAAACUUUCUUACGAUUUUUUUGUUGUAAAGCGUUUUAUUUGAUGAAUAUCCUAACUCAGGAUUCCCUCUUCUGAGUAGAACCCUAAACAACCAUGCUGUUCACUUUUCCCUGUCUGAACAUAAAACGCUUAACAAUAACAAUUGUUUGCAUAUUAAAUAUUUAUGAAUUUGCCUAAUGAAUUAUUUUACACUUGCAGAUUGAUCAUUACUGUAGGAUACGACACUUGCUUGAGUUCCUUUUGAAGUUUGAAGUUUGGAAAACAUAUUUAAAGGUAAGAUCAAAUUUCGGUUGAGUGAAAAUUAUACAAUUUCUUUGAUGAAUAUCCUAACUCAGGAUUCCCUCUUCUGAGUAGAACCCUAAACAACCAUGCUGUUCACUUUUCCCUGUCUGAACAUAAUACGCUACAAAAAUAUUAUUGUGUAUUUCAUAUUUUGUAUUAAACUCGAACUAUUUAUUUUAUUUGCAGGUAGCUUUAACGCAUUUUGGACUCAUAAAUACAUCAGAGAGGAGGUAAAAUAUGAUUUCAUUAAUCUUGUUGCUCUUUUGAAAUGAUGAAGAAGCCCUUAGUGGUUUUAUUUUCUUAGAAUCUCAAACAUCAUGCUGAUUUUGUCUUCUUUCCCCAACUGACACAUCAUUUCAAUCGAAUACUUGAAUACGUUUAUCAACACAAAGUUCUAAUUAUGUUAUUUCUCUCUCUCUUGCAGGUUAUUGUGUUACAGAAUAAAAUGUUGAAAAUAAAAGUUAAUUGAAAG
RNAcentral lists this long non-coding RNA (1852 nucleotides) under Drosophila guanche. The record is from RNAcentral. Lineage: Eukaryota; Metazoa; Arthropoda; Insecta; Diptera; Drosophilidae.